Molecule: ribosomal RNA, 499 nt
Filed under: uncultured Glomeromycotina
Lineage: Eukaryota; Fungi; Glomeromycota
Description: partial small subunit ribosomal RNA
Rfam family: Eukaryotic small subunit ribosomal RNA
Source: RNAcentral
CCAAUAGCGUAUAUUAAAGUUGUUGCAGUUAAAAAGCUCGUAGUUGAAUUUCGGGAUCAAUGCGUCGGUCGUGCUUCGGCACGCACUAACGAUAUUGAUUUCUCCCUUCUGACGAACCGUGAUGUCAUUUAUUUGGUGUUACGGGGAUUCAGGACUGUUACUUUGAAAAAAUUAGAGUGUUUAAAGCAGGCAAUCGCUCGAAUACAUUAGCAUGGAAUAAUGAAAUAGGACGUUCGAACCUAUUUUGUUGGUUUCUAGGAUCGACGUAAUGAUUAAUAGGGAUAGUUGGGGGCAUUAGUAUUCAAUUGUCAGAGGUGAAAUUCUUGGAUUUAUUGAAGACUAACUACUGCGAAAGCAUUUGCCAAGGAUGUUUUCAUUAAUCAAGAACGAAAGUUAGGGGAUCGAAGACGAUCAGAUACCGUCGUAGUCUUAACCAUAAACUAUGCCGACUAGGGAUCGGAUGAUGUUAAUUUUUUAAUGACUCAUUCGGCGCCUUACG